GCAUUUUUAAUAAAACUUAGAAUGAACUUUAAUCAAAUAUACUUUUUUGCACUUUUUUUCUAAAGCAAGCUAAAAGUAACAGCUGAUAACUGACAGAAGAAAGAAUGCAAUUACAGAGUCACAAGCUGUGAAAAAAUUUGUCAACGCCGACUAUAUGAAAAAUCCGCAAUUACUUUUUGGGCAACCCAAUAUAUCCUUCCAAAUUUGGUAGAAAAAGCCCAACUCGGCAAUACUCUGUAAUUUGAAAUCAAAACGAAAAAAAAUUUUUUUUUCAUCAGUUGAACAUUUGGCGGAGAGUAAUUAGAAAUUUAAUUUCUUUCAGUACUAAAAUUGAAUAUAUAUAUUUGAAGACGAUCAGAUGGAAAUUGAGACCUGUAGUUUGUUCACAAAUUAACAUGGACAGACGGACAUAGCUAAAUUAAUUAAGAAAGUGAUUCUGAGUCGAUAGACCGGUAUUUCGCAGCUACAAACCACAAAACGAAAUCACUCCAUGCCAAAUAAUCCCUAAAAUGGCUGCUGGAGACAUAGAAGAAGUUGUUGGCAACCAAUUGGAUUGAAAGUAUUGGGUUGCACAAAAAGUAAUUGCGAAUUUUUUAAAAGAAAGUAAAUGCAUUUUUAAUAAAACUUAGAAUGAACUUUAAUCAAA
This is a long non-coding RNA of Stomoxys calcitrans (stable fly), 646 nucleotides long. RefSeq lists it as uncharacterized. Lineage: Eukaryota; Metazoa; Arthropoda; Insecta; Diptera; Muscidae. The record is from RefSeq and is a predicted model, not a curated record. The transcript is spliced from 2 exons.